This is a long non-coding RNA of Polyodon spathula (Mississippi paddlefish), 620 nucleotides long. RefSeq lists it as uncharacterized. Lineage: Eukaryota; Metazoa; Chordata; Actinopteri; Acipenseriformes; Polyodontidae. The record is from RefSeq and is a predicted model, not a curated record. The transcript has 4 exons.
GGGACGGGACCGUACGGGACAGGACGGGACGGGACAGUGAGUCACACUGCUGUUGUGUCAGUACAUUCACAGUACUGGAUCACACAGAAUGAACCAGCUUGUUUGCCAGAGCACUCUGAAUUCCAUGCAUAUGAAUGUGGGAAGAAGAUGCAACGCAACAGAUUUUCAGCAAAUAAAGGAUGAGCAAGUGAGAGAAGCUCCACAGAGACAGGCUGGGAGCUCAGAGGCACACAGCAUAUAAAACAUAGUGAAAGCAUGGUCCAAGGCCAGUGUUCUCCAAGGCUGGCUGAACACUUGAGUAUCCCAGUUACAAGCCGUGCUCCCUGAUGUGUGACACACUGAGCUGUGGAGAGUGGAGACCUUGUGUAUACUUCAGAAUACUACAGCCCAAUUACACUGCACGCCAGGAAGUCCUCUCACAGUAAGAACACUGCUGUCUCCCAGCCACUGCAGAGCACACUGCCUGCCUGCCAGAGCGUCUGAAGACUGACUCAUCGCUGUCCUCAAGCAGACUCGACACACUGCUAUCAACACGCAUAUGGAUCCAUGGAUACAAUUACAAGAGUGUCAUUUUCAAAAAGGGCAUGAUUUAAAUCUGCUGUCAACUUAAAUAUACAGUA